Heterocephalus glaber (naked mole-rat) is the source of this 1163-nucleotide non-coding RNA. NCBI's taxonomy places the organism in Eukaryota, Metazoa, Chordata, Mammalia, Rodentia, Bathyergidae. The record is from RefSeq and is a predicted model, not a curated record.
GGGAGGGCUUUUCCGGUGUCAUGGCGCCUAUGUCCGCAUCUGAGCGUUGCUGAGAAACACACCUGGCUCGACCGCCUUUCUCCGUGACUCCUGCGGGCUGCGUCCUGCGUGGCCACACAAUGGUGACGGAGGCAGUGACCUUUGAGGAUGUGGCUGUGAACUUCACUUUGGAGGAAUGGAAUUUGCUGGACCCAUCCCAAAAGAAGCUCUACAGAGAUGUGAUGUCAGAAACAUUUAAGAACGUGGCUGUUAUAGGACAAUACUAUAAUAAUCAGCAAACUGAAGAUGAGUGCAAAUGUUGGAAGAGAAACCUAAGGUAAUUUGCACUCAACAUCGAGAGUAAUGUUGCUCAAGGGAAUGAGCGCAAGUUUUAAAACCAAGCAAGCGACAAGUGAGGCCAAGUCCAAGAGUUAUUUAACUUCACAGUUCUCCUAAAAUUCACAUGGUUUGACUGUCCACGAUGUGGCGAUUGGGCAUUAAAACAUUCUAAUACUGGAAAUGCAGGGAGUACUGCCGUGACAUGAGUGACAUUAUCUAACAUGUCAGAAUAAACAAACUUUGUUCAUGUUGAGGGUUAUAAACAUGUUUGAAGUUGCCCUUUAGGCAUUGGCUAUAGAUGUGUUUAAACACAUUGUAUGUUUAUGCCUGGUCACAAGUUCAGGGUAUGUAGUCAAUGUAUCUGUGUAUUUUCUAAAGCCCACUUUGGUAUCAGUCAAUUUAUGUAAAAAAUGCUAUCUUUACUUAAAUGUAAUAAAUAUGUUCAGUAUUCGCAAAAUUGCUAACAUUGUGGAUGUAUUGAAAAUCAUUGAAAUGAAUGUCACUGUUUUGGUAAUUGCUAUUUUCAAGUAUUCCUCCAUAUCAUUCAGUCCGUUCUUCCUCCAAAAUGACUAGAAGGAACCUUCCUUUAUUGUUGGUGGCAUUGUCAUGCAGUACAACAUCCAUGAAAAUGCCUAUGGAGACAAGUACAAAAAGAAAUUUCAUUUCAUCCAGAUGAACUUCUGGGUAUAUUCUGCCAAAAGUUAUAGUAAUCAUAUUAACGGAUAAAUGCAUAUCCAUGUUUAUAACAGGACAACUCACAGCUAGCUCUGGAAGCAACCUUGAUGUCCACCCACAGAUGAGUGGAUUAAGAAUAUAUGAGAUAGGGCCCGAGAUUUAGCUCAGUG